RNAcentral lists this long non-coding RNA (648 nucleotides) under Heterocephalus glaber (naked mole-rat). RNAcentral describes it as "lncRNA (ENSHGLG00000039668.1)". The record is from RNAcentral. Lineage: Eukaryota; Metazoa; Chordata; Mammalia; Rodentia; Bathyergidae.
CCCAGUGGGAGGGUGUGAGAUGCCCUUGGGGAUCCUGAGACUCCAGGGCCUCUGAUCUCUUUCUGCUUCCUGGCUGCUGUGAGGUGAGUGGCUUCCUCUGCUGUGCAUUCCCGCCAUGAUGCUUCUGCCUUGCCACAGACCCAAAGACAGAGAGGCCAAGCAGCCGUGGACAUGAGCCUCUGGGAAACGAGUUUAAAGACAUUAAUUACAUCCAUGCCCCGAGACUGUGGGAAGCCCAGGUUAAAGGCUAUGGACCAGUUGAUUUCAAGGCAGCAGUGCACUCAGGCAGUGGCAUGUGAAUUACGGGCUGCUUUUAGCCAAGUCAGAACCAGCUAUGAGGAGGAGCAGUGACACCUUUGGGAAACGUGCAGCUUGGCCAGAAAAGCAGUGUGCUUCUGGAGUGCCAGAAAGAUGCCGCUAAGGAGGGGGCACUUGCUAAAGAGAUUAGUGCUCCUAGGAAGAAGCUGUGUCCUCUGAACCAAGACAACAGGAAGGAUGUCUCAUGCAUCUCGGGAACAGAGGCUCACAGCUAAGAGUUUGCCAAGAGUCUCAGAGGAGACUUUGGAUUUGGACCUUUGAGCCGGCGCUGGAACUGUUGAGACUCUGGGGCCUCUGAGAGGGAUUGAGUACAUUUUGCAAGGUGAGAUG